This is a long non-coding RNA of Lagopus leucura (white-tailed ptarmigan), 2571 nucleotides long. RefSeq lists it as uncharacterized. NCBI's taxonomy places the organism in Eukaryota, Metazoa, Chordata, Aves, Galliformes, Phasianidae. The record is from RefSeq and is a predicted model, not a curated record. The transcript has 2 exons.
CCCAAAAAGUCUAGUAAAUUUCUAAAUACAAAAGCUGUACAACACUCCCAAAAUGUGAAUCCAAGUCAAUGCUGCAUUUUAUGCAUCACCCUUACUGAAAUGUUUCCAUUUCAAAAGAAGAGAUGUUAACAAGAGCAGAAUGUACCAUAAAAAAAAUUAUUAAUUCAACAGAUAAGCUACUAGAGAAUGACAGCAUUACUAAUUUGCAAGUAUAAUAUCAGAUGAGAUUUUGGGUUAUUUCUUUCACUUACCGCAAAAAUAAAAAUAGCAGUGAGAUCAUUCUAAUUUUACAUGGCACACUUUGAAAGUAAAGAGCCUAACAAAAAAUCCUGCAGUCAGCAAACACAACCAUUACCUAUUUCUGACUUUCAAUUUUGUCAGUGAAGUUUUCCAAGAGAACUUACUUUUGCAAGAAGACUGCUGCAUUAGAUAAAUCAACCAAACAGACGAGCAGCAGAUUGUGCAGUGUGUAGGAAAAAACUGAAACUAAAGAAAAAGAAACUCACCAGCAAGACAAAUGGGAAAGUUUGUAACCAUUAAAAACUACAGAUAUUCUGAGUGUGGGAACUGUCCUGCUCUUUCUGUCAUUAAGCAUUGCUCCUCUGAAAACAGGAUUACAGCCACCACUUGUCCGUAUCUCAGCUCUUUGGGAACGGAUGGCUGGACGGAUGGAUUAGUGCUAUUUUUAUUGAAGGUCCAAUAACAUGGAUUUAAUGCUGAGGUGGAGAAAUACUGGUAAGAAAACAACAGCAAUCUCACCUCUAGGAUAAUUUCUGCCAGGAAACUCUACGGAGUAAUGUAAUCAAUGGUACAUUAAUUCUAGUUUUGCCCGGACUAGUUCUAGCUUUUAUUCAAAUAGUACCCUUAGUUUUCAGGGUCUAGAAGGCAGUUAUAAUUCUCAGCACUUUCUUGAGUCUUAACGUUUAAGAAACUGCAAAUGACUGGUGUCUAAUUGCUCUAUCAAAUGCGCCUGUAAACACUAUUUUGUUGUGCUCCACUGUAGUCCCCUGCUGCUGUCUGCUCAGAAGGGUUAGCAGCCAGCCCUGAGGGCUAUCAUAGUAAUUCAUUUUCUUUGAAACCAUUGACACUGAAGAGAAUAAGUGGGAAUGGCUGGAAAGGAAGAAACUAUUGAAAACUACAGUUACUGCAUCUCUUGAAGAUUAAGUUUCACUUGCAACACACUCAUAAUCAAGACUGCAGUUACUAAAAACACAACUGAUUCCACAAGAAAUUUCCUGAUGAUUGAGAAUUCUUUCCCCAUUUUGCAAAAGCACACACCAGUUAUCACUGGUAGAUACCCAACAUACCCACUACGCCACUGACGCAUCUUUAUACUGACUGCACUGUAACAUUUAACUUGUAACUGUGCGUUCCUGUCAGUUUUUAAAACUGCUUUUUUCUCAAAUUUGACAGAUGCCAAGUCCACCUGAGGAGCACAGGACACCAGCUGUUACCAUACAACCAAUGCUCUGAACCCACAGAUAUGGAAUUAAUUCCGUGCUUGAUGGAAUUAAUGCCCCAUGUCUCCACCAGCCCCAGAAGGGCUGAGACAUUUCCUCUCAAGACAGCAGCUACUCCAUGUGCAAGAGGAGCCAACCCCUUUUAGAUAUCAUAAAGAAGAAGGAAGAGCUGCUGACCUUUGCUUGGAAAUAUUAAUCCCAGUCUACCUUUAUCUGAAGCGCGGGAGGAAGAACAAGUCAAGAUUAGAGGCCAGGGCUGCCUCCAGGAAACCAAAGGUUUAGGACAAACAGGACUUCUGACAAUCGCCAGCUGUCACAGUAAGACGGCCAGGUACCUUGGUGUCUUUGAAACUGUUACAGAAUUGUGUAAGUCACAGAUUCAGAGAAAGACAGCAAAUUUCCCCCCUGCCCAUAUCUCCAUCAUCGAAGCCUUUAUCAUAGCUUUCCUCUCUCACUUCAAAGAUAAAGACAUCAGCACUGUCCGUAGACCUUUUGGAGGUCAUCUUAGGAUGUACACAUCUGUGAACACUACACUAUCGUUUUCAGAAGGAUGCGUAACGACAAACUUCUGUAAAUGUGAAAUUCUCCCACUAAGUGAAGCAUGUUUCUGUUCAGGAAUUUUAAGACUAUAAUGGUCCAAAGUUCCAAAGCCUUUGUGCUUUGGACUUCCAUGGUCUUUAUGCAUUGGUCUUCCACGUAGGAGAAAGGUGACAGAUGUCAACCACAUCUUGAUGUUGCUUAUCAUAAACCAACAUAUCAUAAGUGGAUUUCUAAAAGUACAUCAACUUCUGUUAUAAAGCCAAGGUGGGCCUGAAGUCAGAGACCCAAUGGUACCAAAAUGCAAAGUCAGUACUGACAAAAAGAAGGAAAAACAUGCAGCAUUUAUAUUGUGUGCAUAGAACAACUUUAUAUGUUUAAACAGACAGGGAUACCUAUAUACACUUAACUAGCUUUAAAAUAAACAACAUAAACCAGACAGACUAAAGAAAUUCCUUGAAAAACAACUCCAAUCAUCCUAUAUUUCCACUGUGUGUAGACAGCAGUUACCUGUGUAAGGAUGUAGCUCCUCUGGGCCUCUUCCAUUUUUAUUAAACUAGCAUUGAUAUAGUCA